CUCAAUAUACAGAAAUAGAGAAAUGAAAUAACAGUCUAAUCCAACCCCACAAACAAGGACAUAAAUAUACAAAAUAUAUAUAACAAUAAGCAUACCAGACCUUGUGAGAAGCAGGGACAGAGUCAGUCACAAAAACACCCCCAACGUUUCGGCAAAAAUGCCUUUAUCAAGGGAGCAUCAAACAGGGGCAUAUUCAAACAGGAUCUCAAAAGGGGACAGGCC
This is a non-coding RNA of Pelobates cultripes (western spadefoot toad), 222 nucleotides long. Lineage: Eukaryota; Metazoa; Chordata; Amphibia; Anura; Pelobatidae. The record is from the annotation of a GenBank genome assembly.